This 857-nucleotide long non-coding RNA is filed under the name Salmo salar (Atlantic salmon). RNAcentral's name for it is "lncRNA (ENSSSAG00000102785.1, ENSSSAG00020071433.1)". The record is from RNAcentral. Lineage: Eukaryota; Metazoa; Chordata; Actinopteri; Salmoniformes; Salmonidae.
GCGAAUUCUAUGCUCUACAGAUGUAGACUGACUGGCUCCCGGUUGGAUUGGAUUCAAGCCGGUGACGCCGUUACACUAUACAACCAACUGUGACAUGUUACACUAUGGCCCUGGGUUGGGGAAGUGGUACAUUGUGGGCCUGGUGUACGACUCCCCAGUCUUCGCCCCCCUACAAAGACAAGCUUAGAGUAUCCAUGGGCAUCCUGACUCCACAUACCAAUGCCAACAUCCUGACUCCACAGACCAACGGCAAUGUCAACAUCCUGACUGAACAGACCAACGGCAAUGUCAACAUCCUGACUCCACAGACCAACGGCAAUGCCAACAUCCUGACUGAACAGACCAACGGCAACGUCAACAUCCUGACUCCACAAACCAAUGGCAACGUCAACAUCCUGACUCCACAAACCAAUGACAACGUCAACAUCCUGACUCCACAAACCAAUGGCAACGUCAAUCUCCUGACUCCACAGACCAACGUCAAUCUCCUGACUCCACAGACCAACGUCAAUCUCCUGACUCCACAGACCAACGUCAAUCUCCUGACUCCACAGACCAACAUCAAUCUCCUGACUCCACAGACCAACGUCAAUGUCAACCUCACCAAGUCGGCCCAGAGGAUAACAGAAUGAUAUACAACACCAGAAUGAGCAUUGGCAUCCCGGCAACCUAACUAAAAGACAGCCACCUUGGUUAGGGUAUUGAAGAUGUACUAAGAUGGACGCAUAUUCCUAUUCUAUCAUUAUGUUCUUUCUCCUUGUGUGAAGAUCGUCAUGAUGCCGCAGUAAGCUCUAUGCAUACGAUAAGUCAGUGAUACAUGGUGAAUUCAUCCUUUUUUUUAUGAGCAUGUCCUUAUU